CCUACGGGCGGCUGCAGUGAGGAAUAUUGGUCAAUGGACGAGAGUCUGAACCAGCCAAGUAGCGUGAAGGAUGACUGCCCUAUGGGUUGUAAACUUCUUUUAUAUGGGAAUAAAAUGUUCCACGUGUGGGAUUUUGUAUGUACUAUAUGAAUAAGGAUCGGCUAACUCCGUGCCAGCAGCCGCGGUAAUACGGAGGAUCCGAGCGUUAUCCGGAUUUAUUGGGUUUAAAGGGAGCGUAGGUGGAUUGUUAAGUCAGUUGUGAAAGUUUGCGGCUCAACCGUAAAAUUGCAGUUGAGACUGGCAGUCUUGAGUACAGUAGAGGUGGGCGGAAUUCGUGGUGUAGCGGUGAAAUGCUUAGAUAUCACGAAGAACUCCGAUUGCGAAGGCAGUUCACUAGACUGCAACUGACACUGAGGCUCGAAAGUGUGGGUAUCAAACAGGAUUAGAUACCCCAGUAGUC
RNAcentral lists this ribosomal RNA (460 nucleotides) under uncultured bacterium. Its description in RNAcentral is "partial 16S ribosomal RNA". It matches the Rfam family "Bacterial small subunit ribosomal RNA", at positions 338 to 795 of the family's 1533-position model. The record is from RNAcentral.